GACGAACGCUGGCGGCGUGCUUAACACAUGCAAGUCGAACGGAAAGGCCCUGCUUUUGUGGGGUGCUCGAGUGGCGAACGGGUGAGUAACACGUGAGUAACCUGCCCUUGACUUUGGGAUAACUUCAGGAAACUGGGGCUAAUACCGGAUAGGAGCUCCUGCUGCAUGGUGGGGGUUGGAAAGUUUCGGCGGUUGGGGAUGGACUCGCGGCUUAUCAGCUUGUUGGUGGGGUAGUGGCUUACCAAGGCUUUGACGGGUAGCCGGCCUGAGAGGGUGACCGGCCACAUUGGGACUGAGAUAAGGCCCAGACUCCUACGGGAGGCAGCAGUGGGGAAUAUUGCACAAUGGGCGGAAGCCUGAUGCAGCAACGCCGCGUGCGGGAUGACGGCCUUCGGGUUGUAAACCGCUUUCGCCUGUGACGAAGCGUGAGUGACGGUAAUGGGUAAAGAAGCACCGGCUAACUACGU
This 467-nucleotide ribosomal RNA is filed under the name uncultured bacterium. RNAcentral's name for it is "partial 16S ribosomal RNA". It matches the Rfam family "Bacterial small subunit ribosomal RNA", at positions 28 to 506 of the family's 1533-position model. The record is from RNAcentral.